CUUCCACAAUGGACGAAGUCUGAUGGAGCAAUGCCGCGUGAGUGAAGAAGGGUUUCGGCUCGUAAAACUCUGUUGUUAAAGAAGAACACCUUUGAGAGUAACUGUUCAAGGGUUGACGGUAUUUAACCAGAAAGCCACGGCUAACUACGUGCCAGCAGCCGCGCUAAUA
RNAcentral lists this ribosomal RNA (169 nucleotides) under uncultured Lactobacillus sp. RNAcentral's name for it is "partial 16S ribosomal RNA". It matches the Rfam family "Bacterial small subunit ribosomal RNA", at positions 363 to 525 of the family's 1533-position model. Lineage: Bacteria; Bacillati; Bacillota; Bacilli; Lactobacillales; Lactobacillaceae. The record is from RNAcentral.